GUAGUUAGCCGGAGCUUCCUCCCAUGGUACCGUCAAUUUCUUCGUCCCAUGGGACAGAGGUUUACAAUCAAAUAACCUUCUUCCCUCACGCGGCGUUGCUGGGUCAGGGUUUCCCCCAUUGCCCAAUAUUCCCCACUGCUGCCUCCCGUAGGAGUCUGGACCGUGUCUCAGUUCCAGUGUGGCCGUUCACCCUCUCAGGCCGGCUACCCAUCGUCGCCUUGGUGAGCUGUUAUCUCACCAACUAGCUAAUGGGACGCGAGACCGUCUGUUAGCGGAUUACUCCUUUGACCCCUGCAUCAUGUGAUGCUGUGGUCUUAUGCGGUAUUAGCAUCGGUUUCCCGGUGUUAUCCCCCUCUAUCAGGUUGGUUCCUCACGCGUUACUCACCCGUCCGCCACUAACUUUAUACCCGAAGGUAUAUCGUCCGUUCGACUUGCAUGUGUUAGGCACGCCGCCAGCGUUCGUCCUGAGCCAUAUNAACAACUNACGUACUAGNGGCGGUCGNGAGACGGCG
Molecule: ribosomal RNA, 512 nt
Filed under: uncultured bacterium
Lineage: Bacteria
Description: partial 16S ribosomal RNA
Source: RNAcentral